Molecule: long non-coding RNA, 640 nt
Organism: Symphalangus syndactylus (siamang)
Lineage: Eukaryota; Metazoa; Chordata; Mammalia; Primates; Hylobatidae
Source: RefSeq, a predicted model, not a curated record
GGAAGUGGCCUCUCCUUGAGGGAAGGAGCCAGAUGACUUCUCAGAGAACAACAACCAUAUUCAAAAUAUUCUCCAGUUUCUUUUGUUUCUUCUUGUCUGCAUCUGAUGUCCAGGACGUUAUUCCACAGGAAAAGGUUAAUAGGAGAUCAAGAUCGGCCAGACACAUUCCAGACAUUGAAGUUAGACGUGGAUCUGUGAUUCGACGUGGCCAAUAGAAAGAGCUGAAGUGAUGAGACUCUUUUCUGGCAGAAGUCUGUUGGAACAAAACUGGGAGUUUCCAAGUGUCUUAAUCCAUGUUCCACUGACUGGCGAUGUUCCAGAUGGAGGAGGCCUCAUCAGCCUGCACCCCUCAGUGAAGAUGAUGAGGGUGUGUCGAACACAGAAUGUCACCAAGAACUGUUUUGUCUGUCAACAAGAGAGAUAGAGGCUGCAGAUGGCUACAGAGAAGAUUCUACAUGGGGAAGGCCCCAAACAUAGCUGGCGACAUCAACUACAAAGGAUGUCUUUUGGGGAGGAAGUUCUGAGGACUGCUUUCUAGUGAGACUUCAAUCUAUGUGGUGUAUGGCUCCCAACAGACUGAUCACCAUGGGUCCUGCAGAACAGAGGAGAUGCUUUUCUGCCAGCUGGAAUGGGUAGCAGG